AAUGGAAACCACGUGACUUGUCAAUAGUCUGGCAGAGGCCUUACACACACACAAACAGAGAGAGAUGAUUGACCCCUGAUUGAUGUCGCCUAUGAGUGGCAAAAUGUGUUAUCAGUAAAACUCUGAACUCAGUGUUGGAAGUGAUAAGCGGCCUAUGAUUAAAUGGUGUGAUCUACAAGCUUGAGUUUAGUUGAACUGUUGCAAGCUGCGUUGCAAGAUGUGCUGGCCAUUAAUCAAAGUUGCCACUUGGCUUACUCUGAGUCUCCUUGCUUUCGAUCUGUGCGGGGCAAAUGUUGUGUUUCACUUUUCCUUGGAUUUUCAUGUGAAGGAGCCCCCAAAUUCCAGCGAUCCAAUAAAUAAAACAAUCAUCGUGGAAAAUAAUCAGGUGUCGCUGCAGGACAAUGAGCCUGGUUCAAGUACAACUGCGCCCAGUGCGUGGAUCGAGGAGGAUCAGUAUAAUAUGGAUGCAGUGCAGCUGCUCGAGGAGACAACGCGUGCCGUGAAACAGUUAAAUGUGGAGCUAUCACCGCUGGUGGGCAGAAGCAACCAGUUGGCCGCAGUUCUCAAGCAAACGCUGCGCUAUGUGAACGAUGUGGAUGCAACUCUGGAGAAUGGCCAUUUUGCCCAGCAUGUGGAUCAGUUGCGCAAGUAUCCGCUGUUGAUCGACAACCUGAGAUUGGGUGGUGUGCGCACCCUCGAAUUUGUGCUGCUCAAGCUGGCCAUGGAGAAAUACAAAUUGCUGGAAAAGCAGCAAACAGUUGCCGAUUAUUUGCAGCGAGCGGAUGCGGCUUGGAGUAGAUUUAAGAACACACAGGUCGUUAUUAUCGAGCAGAGCUAAUUGAGUGCCUCAAAUUCUACGCCUCCAUUGAAAAACUCAAAGCUGAGAUUUAGUUUAACAGUUGUCUAGAUUUGUAUUAGAAUUCGUUGCGUUGCCAACAAAAGCCGAAAAAACAACAAUAAGCAAAAAGGUGGCAUUCCAAAAAUGGACUUCCUGUCGUUUUCCAUGCUGUUGUUUGGUGUUUUAUAUGUAUUCCAUUUGAUUCCACUGCAUUGCCUGCCAUUGCUACAGUGGCCCAAAUCUACCCUUGGAAAAUACGUUACACACGCUGGGAAUAAACUCACACACACGCACACAGAGACACAUAUACGUUAUGUGUGAGAGCAGAAGGAUUCCAGGUAGACGCAGACAAAGGCAACGAAUGAGCGCAUAAAGAGUGCCCCGCAAAACAACAGCAGCUGCCAGAUCCGUUGCUAAUGUGCUGCACAACAACAACAGUGAUGACGAUCGGCGAGAACACAGACGGUGCAACCGAGGGUAUCCUGCCCCUAGGCAGCCCGUCCUUAAAUUCCUGAAACUUGAAACCACCACGAAAACGCUCAAAAUACUUACAAACACUUAUGCGAUUAUCAGUACCAGUGUUGCCAUUUAAAAAUGGCUAGUUUUAGGACCAACUGAACUACAGCUGAAAAGUGUAUAGUAUUUAUUUUUAACAGUUUUUCUUUAUUAUAAUAUUUUCAGUCUAAGUC
This is an RNA transcript of Drosophila grimshawi, 1527 nucleotides long. RefSeq lists it as uncharacterized. NCBI's taxonomy places the organism in Eukaryota, Metazoa, Arthropoda, Insecta, Diptera, Drosophilidae. The transcript is spliced from 3 exons. The record is from RefSeq and is a predicted model, not a curated record.